This 378-nucleotide unclassified non-coding RNA is filed under the name uncultured delta proteobacterium. Its description in RNAcentral is "contains 16S-23S intergenic spacer region". The record is from RNAcentral. Lineage: Bacteria; Deltaproteobacteria.
UCUGCCUUAUCGGCAAGCGGUCCCCCUAGAGUGCCCAACUUAAUGCUGGCAACUAAGGGCAAGGGUUGCGCUCGUUGCGGGACUUAACCCAACAUCUCACGACACGAGCUGACGACAGCCAUGCAGCACCUGUCACCGCGUCCCCGAAGGGAACCCCUACUUUCAUAGGGUAGCGCGGGAUGUCAAGCCUAGGUAAGGUUUUUCGCGUUGCAUCGAAUUAAACCACAUACUCCACCGCUUGUGCGGGCCCCCGUCAAUUUCUUUGAGUUUUAAUCUUGCGACCGUAAUCCCCAGGCGGGAUACUUAACGCGUUAGCUACGACACUGAAAGGGUAAGAACUUCCAGCAUCUAGUAUCCAUCGUUUACGGCGUGGACUAC